GACAGAGGGUGCAAACGUUGUUCGGAAUUACUGGGCAUAAAGCGCACGUAGGUGGUCCACUAAGUCGAGUGUGAAAUCCCCCGGCUCAACCGGGGAAUUGCGCUCGAUACUGGUGGACUCGAGGUCGGUAGGGGUGAGCGGAACUCCAGGUGGAGCGGUGAAAUGCGUAGAUAUCUGGAGGAACACCGGUGGCGAAAGCGGCUCACUGGAUCGAAUCUGACACUGAGGUGCGAAAGCUAGGGUAGCAAACGGG
RNAcentral lists this ribosomal RNA (253 nucleotides) under uncultured bacterium. Its description in RNAcentral is "partial 16S ribosomal RNA". It matches the Rfam family "Bacterial small subunit ribosomal RNA", at positions 524 to 776 of the family's 1533-position model. The record is from RNAcentral.